AUGGGAAACACGCAGGGUGUGGUCGCCGUCCAUUCUGAUUUGUUUCUUGCGCCUAUCUCCUCCCCCUCCCACUCUUUGUUUAUCUGUCCGUCUAUCUUUCACUUCCUUUCCUUGCUGAAUUUCUGUCUGAAUGACCAUGACUCAGAUGAGCAAACAGUAGAUGGAAACCCGUCCAAAUACAAUCUAUUAUUAUAUGCUGCCGCGCUUGAUUUGGAAGAUAAUCGGCUUGCCAGUAUUAAUUUCCUGCUGAUUGAUACACAUAUGAAUACAGAGAAAUUACCAGCCGUACGAGUAUAUUAA
RNAcentral lists this ribosomal RNA (300 nucleotides) under Triticum aestivum (bread wheat). RNAcentral describes it as "partial small subunit ribosomal RNA". The record is from RNAcentral. Lineage: Eukaryota; Viridiplantae; Streptophyta; Magnoliopsida; Poales; Poaceae.